Long non-coding RNA from Herpailurus yagouaroundi (jaguarundi), 182 nucleotides. RefSeq lists it as uncharacterized. The transcript is spliced from 3 exons. Lineage: Eukaryota; Metazoa; Chordata; Mammalia; Carnivora; Felidae. The record is from RefSeq and is a predicted model, not a curated record.
AAUUGGUAGAGGUGGAAGGGACACUUGGAAAUGACUCUGGAAGGGGUAGGCUCAGUUUUAUUCUGGGAUGAAUGCUGCUUACUUCCACCCCCUUGCAGUGAGUGGCUCUGUCUUAUAUGUCCACAACAUUUCACAGUUUCUAAAAUGCACUUUUGACUCUCACAAAAAUUUUGUCAAAUAGG